This 242-nucleotide ribosomal RNA is filed under the name uncultured bacterium. Its description in RNAcentral is "partial small subunit ribosomal RNA". It matches the Rfam family "Bacterial small subunit ribosomal RNA", at positions 26 to 285 of the family's 1533-position model. The record is from RNAcentral.
AGAAUCAACGCUGGCGGCGUGCCUAACACAUGCAAGUCGAACGAGAAAGGGACUUCGGUCCUGAGUACAGUGGCGCACGGGUGAGUAACACGUGACUAACCUACCCUGGAGUGGGGAAUAACUGAGGGAAACCUUAGCUAAUACCGCAUAAUACCUACGGGUCAAAGGAGCAAUUCGCUUCAGGAGGGGUCGCGGCCGAUUAGCUAGUUGGCGGGUAAUGGCCCACAAGGCAAUGAUCGGUA